CUUCAGUAAAGCUAAAACAAGAAUACAUUUACAUCCUCGGUUCUUUCAGUAUUAAUUGGAAAACUUUGUUGAGAUUUGCUGUUAUAUGAAAAAAAUGUUUUCUGUGCAGAAAAUCUGAUAGGAAUUCUUCUAUUGGAGAUGUGGAUUUGGAUUCAAAAGUGCUGGACAUUCAGCGUCAUCACCCAAAUGCCGACUGCAGAAUGAUGAUGGGACAUCAGGCAUACACAUUCAAAGAUUUCGACUGAUGGAUUCAAUGAGACGAGUCAAUCCAGAAGGGGUCAAGAUGCGACGGUUAUCUAUUAAGACUGCAAGGCGUUUUCAGUACAGUGUACCAGCAGCAAAUCACCUUUGGCAUAUAGAUGGAAAUCAGCAUUGAGCACCUGUGGAGGGAUGUAUAUGAAAACAUCUUCACCCAGCUGGAGAUUCAAGGACUGCUCAACCCUGGUGAAAAAAUUCACUUGUUUGCUCUGCACAGAUGCUUUUUGCAUCACAUUCAACAUCAUCUUCAGUCAUUCCAGGAAGCAUGGAAUCAGCACGGACUCAGAAAAGCAAACAACCAUUCACCCCUGCACCUCUGGUUGCUGCACAUAAAGGAGGGACAAGAUUUGUCACAGGUUGAUGAGGAUUAUGGUGUGGACUGGACAGGACCACAUAAUCACCGCCCAUCAAAUGAGAUCACCAUUCUUGAGAUUCAGCUCCCACGUGCACUGAAUGAACGAGACCCUGCUGUGCUACCAAACAACAACGUUUCACUCAGUCAAGCUUUGGAUGCCUACUAUGAAACUGUUCAGUCACUCAAACUUAUGUUUGAGACCUCACCUUAACUCUUCAAAGUAAGCAGGUGCAAUAUGUUCACACCCAAUUUCUUGCAUAACCAUACUUCAAAAUCACUUGUAGAAAGACACUAUCACAUUUAAUCAAUUUCUAUGUCAGGAGGAUUUUUUUUUAAAUUUCUACAUCUCUGGCUUUGUAGCUAAUACUGACUCAAAACAGCAUAACCAAUUUCAUUUUCAACAAAACAGUGGGUGGCUAUAAAACAGGAUUUGUUUUAUACAGCUGUCACUUUAAUGAUAUUCAUUUCUUGGUUGGAUGUACAGUACAUGUCAACUCUGAGCAGAUUUAAUACAAUGAACACAGAACAGUAGUGUAACAUCUUAAUUCAAAUAAUUUUUUCUAGAAAAUUUUUUUGUACCUGUAGCGAGUAUAAA
Oreochromis aureus is the source of this 1208-nucleotide long non-coding RNA. The record is from Ensembl. NCBI's taxonomy places the organism in Eukaryota, Metazoa, Chordata, Actinopteri, Cichliformes, Cichlidae.